UACGUAGGGUGCGAGCGUUGUCCGGAAUUAUUGGGCGUAAAGAGCUCGUAGGUGGUUUGUCGCGUUGUUCGUGAAAACUCACAGCUCAACUGUGGGCGUGCGGGCGAUACGGGCAGACUGGAGUACUGCAGGGGAGACUGGAAUUCCUGGUGUAGCGGUGGAAUGCGCAGAUAUCAGGAGGAACACCGGUGGCGAAGGCGGGUCUCUGGGCCGAUACUGACGCUGAGGAGCGAAAGCGUGGGGAGCGAACAGG
RNAcentral lists this ribosomal RNA (253 nucleotides) under uncultured bacterium. Its description in RNAcentral is "partial 16S ribosomal RNA". It matches the Rfam family "Bacterial small subunit ribosomal RNA", at positions 524 to 776 of the family's 1533-position model. The record is from RNAcentral.